CAGAACAAUGACAUGAAAAGACAGUUUCUGCUGGAGCGACUGCUGGAUGCAGUGAAACAGUGCCAGAUCCGCUUUGGAGGGAGAAAAGAGAUCGCCUCGGAUUCUGACAGCAGGGUGACCUGUCUGUGUGCCCAGUUUGAGGCCGUCCUGCAGCAUGGCCUGAAGAGGAGUCGAGGAUUAGCCCUCACAGCAGCCGCGAUCAAACAGGCAGCCGGCUUUGCCAGCAAAACCGAAACAGAUCUUUCCUGGCUUAUCACUUCUACACCCUCAAACGUUAAAUAUUAUUUAUCCUCGGAUUCUGUGGUUGACUCUCAUUUCUACACAUCCUGUCUGAAUUCCUGGGGGAGCAUUGCUGUCUCUGCGUGGAUGACUCGAAGUUAGAUCUCCCACAGAUCAUGCCCUGCCUUUCUCUUGGGUCUCUCCGUGUGGGUGUACUGCGAGCUCAUCAAAGUCUCCAAGACUGAACCCCCUACCCCCAGCCCCGUGUUCGUCCUGUGUUCCUUGCUCAGUGAGUGGUUCUGCCAGGUUUCUGGCCAGCCCUUGGGCUUCCUCCCAGCCUCCUCUUCCUUUUUCCCUCACAACUGCUCAGACUUCUAUUUUUCUCUUCCUGUCUUUUUAAAAUUGUCAUAAAAUGUAUAUAACAUAAACAUGACUCUUUUAACCAUUUCUGAGUGUACAUUUCAAAGGCAUUAAGUACAUUCUCAUUGUACAACCAUCACCACCACCCACAUCCAGAACGUUUUUUCUUUUUUUGUCUUUUUGCCUUUUCUUGAGCUGCUCCCGUGGCACAUGGAGGUUCCCAGGCUAGGGGUCUCGUCGGAGCUGUAGCUGCCAGCCUACGCCAGAGCCACAGGAAUGCGGGAUCCGAGCCGCAUCUGCGACCUACACCACAGCUCACGGCAACGCCGGAUCGUUAACCCACUGAGCAAGGCCAGGGAUGGAACCUGCAACCUCAUGGUUCCUAGUCGGAUUCGUUAACCACUGCCACGACGGGAACUCCCAGAACCUUUUGUCAUCUUCCCAAGCAGAGAGCCCGUCUCCGUCAAGUGGUAACUUUCUGUGUGGCCCUCCCGCUGGCCCCUGGCAAGCACCGUUCUGCUUACGUCUCUGUGAAUUUGACUGCUCCAGGUGCUUUAUAUAAGUAGACUCAUACAGUAUUUGUCCUGCUGUGUUUGGCUUAUUUCGUUUGGUGUGAUGUCUUUAAGCUUUGCGCAUUUGUAGCACGUGUCAGAAUUCCCUUCCUUUUAAAGACUGAACAGUUUCCAUUGAUGGAUAGCCCACGCUUUGUUUAUUCACUCCUCUGUCGAUGGACACCUGGCCUGCUUCCGCUCGCUGGCUGUUGGGAGGAAUGUGGCCAUGGACAUGAGGGUACAGAUAAUGUUUGAGUCCCUGCUUUCAGUUCUUUAGGGUAAAUACUUGUAGGUGAAAUUGCAGGAUCUGAGGGUAAUUCUGUGUUUAAUUUUUUUUUUUUUUUGGCUUCACCCUUAGCAUGUGGAAGUUCCUUGGCCAGGGAUCGAACAUGAACCACAGCAGUGAUAACACCGAGUCUUUAACCUGCUAGGCCAGCAGGGAACUCGUUCUAUGUUUAAUUUUUUGAAGAGCCACCAUACUGUUUUCUGUACUGGCUGCUCCAUUUUCAUGUCCCAUGAGCAAUGCCCAAGAGUUCCAGCUUCUCCUCAUUCUCUUCAGCACUUGUUAUUUUUCUGAGUUUUUGAUAAUGGCCACUUCGCAUGGAUGUGAAGUGGUCUCUCCUUAUGGCUUUGAUCUCAUCUGUCUGGAAGUUUCACAUUUCUCCCCAAAAGUCGUUUGCGUGCCCCCCACCAGUUUAGCUAGACGGCCCCUCUCUGAGAGGUCGCCCUGCCCCGCCCCCAUUGUCCUGAGUCCUCCUCUCACCAAACCUCCAUGGGGCACCCCCUGGAGUCUGGGCUCCCUGUCCCGGGGGUCGAGGGCCGGGUCCAUUGCUCACCUUUGUAGCUCCAGUGUAUUGCAAAGAGCCUGGUCACCCACAGACCAAGGACAUUUAGAAGAAUGCCUGGAGCAUCCAGACCUCAGGAUGUGCUGCUUAUUCUCGAGGGAGGCCAGACCCGCCUCCUUCCGUCUGGACGCUUCACGGUUGAGAGCAGGUGGUAUUAAUACUUGCCCAGCUGUGCGAUUAGAGAACCCGCUUCCUUGAUCCUCGGUGGGGAUUUUUGAACGUGGUUGGUGGCAUUUAACUCAAAUCAGAAGUUAUAUUUUGCUUCACCGGGUCAACCUGGGUAACAGUUUCAUCUCUGAAGAAAAUUAAUUGCGGAGGAAGCUGCAUGUGCCAGGAGAGCCCAGGCCCGUCCUUCUGUUGGUGAGGGGAAGUCCACUCCCCGCCGGCCCAUCCCUGUCCUGUUUCAGUUCCCUCUGUGGAACUCAUGCACUUGCAAAUCAGCUCGUUCUGGGGAAAAGACGUUGGUGGGAUGUCUGCGGAAGGGGCCGAGAAAAUGGCCAGGACUGGUGGUCAACAGCUGGUGGGCAAAUGCUGGCCUUGCGGAGGGAGCCAGAACCGCAGUGCUGACCCCCGCAGGUGAGGGGUUGACCAGAGUUGCUGGAUUUGGGCCAUGUCCACAGGGUCCCGGCGAGGGUCCUUGACAGCUGGGGAGGCAGAGAGCCCUGGGCCAGUGGCCUUUUACCAAGGGGCACAUUAGGAUCUGAUGUAGCUGGACCGACGCCCCUUGGCCAAAGGGGACCGCUGGCUGUUUCAAAGGUGUUUAGUCUUGACAUCCUGUGAGUUAAGACUCGGAUCUGGCCUCAGAGGUGUCAGUUUUGAGUUAUUACCCAGCCUGUUGGUUCCACGGGUCGUUUGCUCUGCUUCUGUCAGCAUGAAAGUGGCUCUUCCGUGGAGGAUGGCUUACAUCCCUAAAAGGAGACAGGACGCAGUGUUAGGGCUGCUGGAGCAGGGUUCCCUUUGCUGAUGAAGGCGGUGCCCUAGACCUGGAUGUCACUUGGGUGAAGGUCGGGUGUGCUGUGCUGAGGGGUUGGAGUUCGGAACUCAGGCUCAGAUGCUCACGGGGCCAGACAGCUGACAGAAAUGAAUGCAUCGGGCCGGCGAGGGGUGCCAGGGAGUCAUGGCACCUCUGGGUCCCCGGGCCCCUGCCAAGCAGACCGGGAUGUGUAAUCCGGCUGCGGGUUCAGGUAGAGGAGGGGAUGAGUUUGGAUGAGCAGCUAGCAGUUACCAUGGUGGAGUUUUCCUCUUCUGUAUGGAGUGGUCAGAGACACCUCUUUUUUUCCUUUCUUUUUUUUUUUGGGCUGUGCCCACAGCAUGUGAAAGUUCACAAGUCAGGAAUGGAACCCUCACCAUGGCAGUGACCUGAGCUGCUGUGUUGACAAUGCCAGAUCCUUAACCUGCUGUCCCACAAGGGAACUCCCAGAGAUACCUCUCUAUAGGGAUGUUUGAUUGGAGCCCUAAGGAACGGAGGGAGUGAGCCAGGCUGUUAUUGGGAAGGAAUUCUGAAUGGUUUAGCAGGUUCAGAUGUGUGUGACAGUUUUUUGUUUGCUGUCACGUUGGUUUCCUGCCCGUUCCCUGCAUACUGUAUUCGCCGGGUUCCCUGGUCCAUCCCAAGGGUCAGUGGUGAUGAGUUUAGAAGGUGAGGGAGGAGGGAAGCUGGGAUAUUCUUCCUCAGAGUCCUGCCUCAGGGGCAUCUCUGGCAGCGGCCGUGCUUCCUCCGUGGUCCGGGGAGGUCCCACGUGGCUCCUGGUCAGGCCUUCGUCUUGUCCUCCCACAUUGCUCCUGGCUGCUUCUGCCCUGAUCCAGCUGCUGCUCUGUCACCGCCUUUGCCUUGUGUCACCGUGGUUCCCUGGGAUAACUGGUGUCAGAAAGCCCAGCUGUCAUCCCCAGGUGGCCUCAUUAUCUCCUCUGUCUUUCUGGCUUUUCCUGCGUCUCUGUAGCACAUGUCCUGCGUGAAGUGCCUCCAGUGGCCUAGCUGGUCUGGCUUCUGUUUUCCUGGCCCUACAGGCCCUGAGGGGAACAGACUUGGCCUGUUGGGGGAACAGCCUGGAGAAGCAAGGCUGUCAUGGGGGGAGUGACAGGAGCCAGGACCCAGGUGAGGCAGAGAGGUGGUGAGAAGCCUGGUCCUGUGUGGCAGUAAGUGGAGUUUAUCCUCCGCUUCUUGAUGUAUUUUCGUGACCUCCUUUCACCCCCACCAAGAUAACUGGUGCUUGUUGUGUAGUCAGUAGGGAUGUUGACAUUUAAAUCUGCGGAAGUCUUCGGAAGCCAUCCGGCAUCUCAUCAAGUUCUGAGUUAUACACGUUAAAGUGGUGAAUUUUACAUUAAGUGUGAAUUAUGCUACAAUUAAAAAAACCCUCUGGAAGUGGC
Molecule: long non-coding RNA, 4339 nt
Filed under: Sus scrofa (pig)
Lineage: Eukaryota; Metazoa; Chordata; Mammalia; Artiodactyla; Suidae
Description: lncRNA (ENSSSCG00005026521.1)
Source: RNAcentral